Molecule: RNA transcript, 1868 nt
Organism: Solenopsis invicta (red fire ant)
Lineage: Eukaryota; Metazoa; Arthropoda; Insecta; Hymenoptera; Formicidae
Exons: 5
Source: RefSeq, a predicted model, not a curated record
AUUUUGAAGGGGAUAACAUAAUUUGGAUGAAUAAAUGAAUAUUUUUUUAUAAAAAUGAAAAGUCACCUAACUUUUUGAUCACACCUCGUAUGUGGGAUAAAUUCGGUGUGACAGCAGAGGAAAUCAGUGUUCAGCACGUUGUUGAUCCUGAACGACGCCUCUAUUUUUUAUCCGAUUUCCCACAUUUGAUAAAAUGUUUUCGAAAUUUCUUUUCCAAGCACAAUCGAUAUGACGAUAUUUGGACGCCAGAUGGGAUGGUGUCGUUAAAACAUUGGUAUGCUCUGCUUUGUAUAGAAAAUCUGAAAGCGUUCAAUUUAAGAGUUAAUUAUAAAUUAACGGAACAUCACGUAAAACCAGCUUACUACCAAAAAAUGAAUGACGCGUUAGCAUUUCAAUUCUUUGGAGUCGCUGAUGGUACGACAUUGUUGCGAAAUGAUCACGCAGAUCUUGCAGACUAUGAUGGAUCUAUCAAAUUUUGUACUUGAGUUAAAGCACUGAUUACAGCAAUGAACAGCCGAACACCCAUGAAUUCGUUGAAACCGGGCAAUCAAAUGUGGAAUGAUAUACAGGACUUCUUGAAUUAUCUGUGUGAAUGGGAAAAGGAAGCCAAAGAAAAAAAUUAGUUAAUUGAGUUUAUAACGGAUUCGACAUGUUAUGGUUUAAAAAUAACUUUGCAAGCCGCCUUAGAACUUUCCACGUUUCUUAUUAAAAAGCACAAAUUUAAGUACUUAAUGACUGCAAGACUUAACCAAGACAAUUUGGAACAAUUUUUUGGUAUGAUGCGCCAUUGCUGUGGAUCAAAUGAGCACCCGGACUCUUAAUUGUUUGUACAGAUGUAUAAACUAGUCUCUAAGUACUCACUAGUGAAACCUGCGAGAGGUUGUAAUAUUUCUGGUGGAGAACUGAUGGAUGUACUUUUAAGUAUCAAGGACAUAAACAACUCCAAUGAACGGCAAGAACAGUAGCUGAAUCAAAUCGAUACAAUUGUAGAUAGAGGGACAGAUGUUGAUAUUCUUGUUAAUAUUGCCCCCAAAUUUGAAGAUCAUGAUCAUAUGUAUAGUACGUCCGAUUAUGUCUUAUGUUAUAUAGCUGAAUAUGUUGCUAGGAAAGGUCAACAAUUCACAACAUUUGUGAAACAUAAAAGAUCUACUGUCUGCAAAGAUUGUAAAGAAACGUUAAUGUUAGGGCCAAACGAAAAAAUACCCGAUACCCACCAGUUAAUUCAAUUGAGAAACAAGGGAAGUUUGAAACAUCCAUCAAAUGCACUGGUCAAUUUAAUUUCCAUUUUAGAGCAUGGUACAAUUAAAGCAACGCAAAAUGGAGAAAUUAAUGCUAGCACCCUAUUUAACAUAACAAAUACAAUACAAAAACUAUCGCCUCUGCCUGCAGUUGGUUGUGCAAAGCAUAAAAAUGAAGUUACUCAGAAAAUUAUACGAUCUUUUUUAACAACCAGAAUGUGCUUUCUUUGUAAAAAAUCAAAUGAAAACAACAAUGCUGAACAAGAGCAAACCAGAGAACGGAGAAAACGUUCUAAGCUCAGUAAAGUAAGCGAUACUCGCAAUGUAGAGUCUGUAGUCUUUUCCGAACAAAAUACAGCAUGUACACCCAUGGAAUUUGAUUCUGUCCAUGGGGAAAUUUUCCAAACUAAGAAGUCGCUAUCUUUCUACAUAUUUACAGUUUAUGAUUAACGUAACGACCAAUAAGCUCUAGUCGUUACUUUAAUCAUAAACUGCGAGUACUCGUAUGUAGAAAGUGGUGACGUCUCAGUUUAAAAAAUUUCCCCAUGGACAGAAUCAAAUUCCAUGGGUGUACCGAAGUAAAACUGAAAACUUCAAGAAAAAGAAAAAAUCAAGCAGGAAAUGAAAUUA